This 394-nucleotide ribosomal RNA is filed under the name uncultured bacterium. RNAcentral describes it as "partial 16S ribosomal RNA". It matches the Rfam family "Bacterial small subunit ribosomal RNA", at positions 523 to 918 of the family's 1533-position model. The record is from RNAcentral.
AUACGUAUGGGGCAAGCGUUAUCCGGAAUUAUUGGGCGUAAAGAGUGCGUAGGUGGUUACCUAAGCGCAAGGUUUAAUCUUGAGGCUCAACCUCAUUCUGCCUUGCGAACUGGGCUACUUGAGUGCAGGAGGGGAAAGCGGAAUUCCCAGUGUAGCGGUGAAAUGCGUAGAUAUUGGGAAGAACACCGGUGGCGAGGGCGGCUUCCUGGACUGUAACUGACACUGAGGCACGAAAGCGUGGGGAGCAAACAGGAUUAGAUACCCUGGUAGUCCACGCCGUAAACGAUGAGCACUAGUUGUUGGGUACGAAUGUAUUCAGUGACGCAGUUAACGCAAUAAGUGCUCCGCCUGGGGAGUACGGUGGCAACACUAAAACUCAAAUGAAUUGACGGGG